UGCAGCGACGCCGCGUGAGGGAUGACGGCCUUCGGGUUGUAAACCUCUUUCAGCAGGGACGAAGCGUAAGUGACGGUACCUGCAGAAGAAGCACCGGCCAACUACGUGCCAGCAGCCGCGGUAAGACGUAGGGUGCGAGCGUUGUCCGGAUUUAUUGGGCGUAAAGAGCUCGUAGGCGGCUUGUCGCGUCGACCGUGAAAACUUGGGGCUCAACCCCAAGCCUGCGGUCGAUACGGGCAGGCUAGAGUUCGGUAGGGGAGACUGGAAUUCCUGGUGUAGCGGUGAAAUGCGCAGAUAUCAGGAGGAACACCGGUGGCGAAGGCGGGUCUCUGGGCCGAUACUGACGCUGAGGAGCGAAAGCGUGGGGAGCGAACAGGAUUAGAUACCCUGGUAGUCCACGCUGUAAACGUUGGGCGCUAGGUGUGGGGGGCCUCUCCGGUUCUCUGUGCCGCAGCUAACGCAUUAAGCGCCCCGCCUGGGGAGUACGGCCGCAAGGCUAAAACUCAAAGGAAUUGACGGGGGCCCGCACAAGCGGCGGAGCAUGCGGAUUAAUUCGAUGCAACGCGAAGAACCUUACCUGGGUUUGACAUGGCCGCAAAACUUGCAGAGAUGUAAGGUCCUUCGGG
Molecule: ribosomal RNA, 626 nt
Filed under: Micromonospora sp. Ri3Pw_6305
Lineage: Bacteria; Bacillati; Actinomycetota; Actinomycetes; Micromonosporales; Micromonosporaceae
Description: bacterial SSU rRNA
Rfam family: Bacterial small subunit ribosomal RNA
Source: RNAcentral